GGUGGGGUGGCAGAAUGGGAUUGCGCACGACUCGAAAUCGUGUGGCCUUUAAGGCCUUGCGGGUUCGAAUCCCGCCCCCACCGCCA
RNAcentral lists this transfer RNA (86 nucleotides) under Candidatus Parcubacteria bacterium. RNAcentral describes it as "tRNA-Ser". It matches the Rfam family "tRNA". Rfam says of the family: Transfer RNA (tRNA) molecules are approximately 80 nucleotides in length. Their secondary structure includes four short double-helical elements and three loops (D, anti-codon, and T loops). Further hydrogen bonds mediate the characteristic L-shaped molecular structure. tRNAs have two regions of fundamental functional importance: the anti-codon, which is responsible for specific mRNA codon recognition, and the 3' end, to which the tRNAs corresponding amino acid is attached (by aminoacyl-tRNA synthetases). tRNAs cope with the degeneracy of the genetic code in two manners: having more than one tRNA (with a specific anti-codon) for a particular amino acid; and 'wobble' base-pairing, i.e. permitting non-standard base-pairing at the 3rd anti-codon position. The record is from RNAcentral. Lineage: Bacteria; Candidatus Parcubacteria.